Oryctolagus cuniculus (rabbit) is the source of this 1619-nucleotide non-coding RNA. NCBI's taxonomy places the organism in Eukaryota, Metazoa, Chordata, Mammalia, Lagomorpha, Leporidae. The record is from RefSeq and is a predicted model, not a curated record.
GCAGAAGAAAAACAAAGCUACAGAGAUCAGUCCUGUCCAUGGAUCACAACAGACGAUGACUCUCUCAAGAGCUUCCUGCUCAUGCACACAUGGGAGGCAGCAAUGAGGACUCAAAUUGUGAUCCUGCCACCCACAUGGGAUGCUUGGAUUGAGUUCCUGCGGCUUAGCUUCUGCCACACCCCUGCCCAGGUCUUUGCAGACAGUUACGGCAUGAACCAACAGGUUCUUCUUCAAACAGUCCUACAAUCCACAGCAGCCACCUCCACCAACCUCCAAACCCAUCAAAGACAACGGAGAGCUAUGGACACGUUCUUAGAGGUCAACUCUUUUUAAAAAUUAAACUUUUUUCUUCAUAUCACAUUUUCCAUAUAGCUUCACUCAUCUUGUGCUUUUAAUUUCUUUAGGAGAGAUUGCCCUCCGACUUUUGACAUCCAAACCCUUUACUUAGGUCCUUUAUUUCAUCUCAGAUCACUCCUCAAAUGACCACAAUGGCCAGGCCAAAGCCAUGAGCCUGGAGCUCCAUCCAGUUGUGCCACAUGGGUUACAGGGGCUAAAUAACUUGGGCCAUAUGCAGCUGCUUUCCCAGGCAUAUUAUCAGGGUGUUGGGUUAGAAUUGGAGUUGCCAGGAAUCCAACUGGGCCCAGAUGGGGUGCCAGCAUUGCAAGUGUCUGCUUAACCUCUGACCUACAACAUUGUCCCCUUUCUAAAUUACCAUUCUCUUUUCCUGAUCCUUUAUUAAAAAAAAUUCUUAAAAUAAUGUGUUCUUGUUGCCCUUUUUUAAUACCCACCUACUUCCUUUUAGAGAGAAUGUUAGAGUUCCUAUAAUCAGGGCUGGCGCCGUGGCUCACUUGGCUAAUCCUCCACCUGCGGUGCUGGCACCCCAGCUUCUAAUCCCAGUUGGUGCACUGGGUUCUGUCCUGGUUGCUCCUCUUCCAGUCCAGCUCUCUGCUGUGGCCCCGGGAAGGCAGUGGAGGAUGACCCAAGUGCUUGAGCCCUGCACCUGCAUGGGAGACCAGGAGCAAGUACCUGGCUCCUGGCUUUGGAUCAGUGCAGAGGCCAUUUGGGGGGUGAACCAAUGGAAGAAAGACCUUUCUCUCUCACUCUCUAACUCUGCCUGUAAAAAAAAAAAAGAGUUCCUGUACCCAGUGACUAGCUGUAUUUCACUUUGCAUGCUCUGUUGUAUAUUAACCAUAUAACAAAAUUGUGAUUAAGCUAUCAAUUUUUUUGUGAUUAUCCUAUGGGCCAGAUACUAUGUUAGAGAUUUUAUUAAAUUCAAGUUCAUUGGUUCACCUACUCCAGUCGUGUUUUCUUUGCUUAUUCUACUUCUGCCAGGUAGAUAUGCACAAAGAACAUUUUGUUUAAUUUUUUAUUUUAAUUUGUUUUCUCUUCAUUCACUUCUUACUAAUAUAUACCUAUUACAAUGGCUUCUUCCCUUAAGCAGCUAAGUUCUACAUGCAUAUUGAUAAUUUUGAGACCCUUGCUCCAGUAUCAUAUUUUUAAUGCUUGAGAUUCUUAAAUACUUAACAGCAACUACAUAAUAACAGACUAGCAUCUAAAAGUUGAUACAUACAAGAACAGAUCAUUAUCUUUUUUGUUUCUCUACCUUUUUCUAUAAAAAG